GGCAAUUCGGACACUGCCGGGCUGAUGGAAGCCGACUGCCUGUGGAUGUGAUACAACACUAGGAAUGAUCAGGGGGACUGAUUAGAGCAGCACACGAUGAUCAGGGCGGCACGGUGGCGUUGUGGUAGAGCUACUGCCUGACAGCGCCACCGUAGUGGGCCAGGUAUCAAACACCGAAGAGAUGGAGUACGGGCAGAAGAUUGAGAACUUGAACCCUGUGCUGCCCAAUGGCAUCAACAACACACCUGCAAUCGACCGAGGAGAAGUUUGUAGACGGGUGAUUACACUUACCUGUCCUGUCUCUUGCUCCAAACAUUCAUACAGUUUGAUGCUGUAAUGAUGAAUUUUCUUCACAUUGAUCCCAGGAUGAAAAUAUGCUAUUAAGCCAGCCUGAAGGAAGAUAAAAUAUUUGAAUUUAAGACCUAAAUUUGUAAAAAGCAAAUUUGAACAAGUCGUGUCUGAUAAUACGUUGUCCUGAGGAGAUAAUUCAUUAAGAAUCAAAAUAAUAUUAACUUUCAUUAAGUAUUCUUGCAAGUCUUCCAAUGUCUUCCUCAAUUGAUAAACUUUUCAUUCAUUCUUUCUU
Amblyraja radiata (thorny skate) is the source of this 583-nucleotide long non-coding RNA. RefSeq lists it as uncharacterized. NCBI's taxonomy places the organism in Eukaryota, Metazoa, Chordata, Chondrichthyes, Rajiformes, Rajidae. The transcript is spliced from 2 exons. The record is from RefSeq and is a predicted model, not a curated record.